Molecule: non-coding RNA, 4139 nt
Organism: Amborella trichopoda
Lineage: Eukaryota; Viridiplantae; Streptophyta; Magnoliopsida; Amborellales; Amborellaceae
Source: RefSeq, a predicted model, not a curated record
UCGAUAGAUGAAGAAAACAAAAGAAGUGGUUUGUGUGCGUGUCUGUGAGAGAGAGAGACUCCUGAUCUGAGCAGGAUAAGAGAGAGAGAGAGAGACUCCUGAUCUGAGCAGGAUUAGAUGUGGGGGUAAUGGUGGCAGGCAAGAAGCAAGAUUAACAUAUGCUCAGGCAAUUACAAGGGUGGUUCCACAAUGCUGUGUGCAUAAUGGAGUAAAUGAGCAGCCAUGAAUGGUGGAAGGUUUCUAUGAGAAGGCAGCAAUUUUAAAUGUGUCUGAUGAGGUUUGUCUAAAUUGUAAAAAGGCCCUGACAUCAACCCUGCUGGGAUCCUUUUCUCCACCAUUGCUGGAUCUGGAAGGCCUAGAUAGAUGGGCAAAGAAGGGAAAGAUCAGAGUGAGACAAUUGUUAAUCAGUGUCAUUGGCGAGAUAAGGGUAAAUUGUUGACAAAAAUACUAAAUUUGUGAAAUAUUAAGCUAGAAAGAUUUUGGAUUAGAGUGGAAGGUAUUCCGAUCCAUGUAUGGAAUUUUGAUAUUUUUAAGCAUAUCGUUGAACAAUGUGGUAAGUUUGUGGAGGUUGAUUGGGGAGCCAAUGUUGGUGUUUUUCGUAUGAAAUUGAGAAAAUUCAGGGUAAAAAUAUUCUUGAGAAUGCUAUUAUUAGAGCAAAAAAUUGUGAUUUUAUAGUUAAAAUUUUGAUCAGAAUCAGGGAAAAAUGCAUAUACUGGAGGAAUUAAUGAUGAAAGUUGGGAAAAUAAUCAUAUUGAGAUUAAUGCUAAUGAUUAGCAAGAAGUGAGGAGAAGAAAGCAGAGAAAUGGUGUUAAUAGUGAAAGGAAAUUUAAACAAAGAGCAGGCCGAUGGAGGAUGAACAAGGUAAGGUUACAGAGAAAUCUUACAUAGCAAGAGAGGAGGAAGAGUAAGGUUAAUGGAAGACGAGACGUGCAACACAAAGCGAAUCUGGAGAGAUGGAGUAAAUCAGACUGAGUGGCUCGAGAGGAAUCUAAAAGUGGAAGAGGUAAAAUGAUGGAAUGGCGUCCGAUUGGCAAAAGGCAAAAUGAAGAAAUAAUAGCAAAUGCAGUGGAAAGAAGUCCGAUUGGCAAAAGGCAAAAUGAAGAAAUAAUAGCAAAUGCAGUGGAAAGAAAUCCGAUGGACGGAGUACAAAAUGGGCCCAAAAUCAAUGAUGAUAAGAGGAAUCGUCCACUUAGUAGCUCUGGGCAAAAUAGUAAUAUGGAGUGUGAAUGUUCAAGAAGGUGGGAUGAGGCGUUCUCAAAUCUGCAUAUAGAAGGAUGUAAGGGUCGGUGGAGGACGAAGAGAAACUGGAGAAUGUGGCAAUGGCAGCGGUUGAGAUGAGGGGUAAUAAUGACAUACAGAAUAUGGAAGGGAGGAUGAAUGUAGGAGGAGACUGGUAAUUAGAGAAAGAGAGGAAAGAGAGAUAGUGAAGUGUGUAGUGUGCUUGAGACCUGAAGAAGACAUGAGAGGUUAUUGCCUCGUAAGAAAGCUACAGUGGCUUUCAAGACGAGGCCUCGUAAAUGUACGGAUGGAAGUGAUUGGCCAUUGGAUCAAGUCAUUUUCAUUGAUGCAGAGGACUUUGGCUUGGUAGUAGCAGAGAAUAAAGAGAUGGAGUGUGCUGAUACAUGGGAUUGCCAUAGUGGUCUGGUGAAGAGACUAUUGAAGAUGUUCAACCAUUGUGCAUGAUCCCAACGGCCGACAUUACUCAUCAAGAGCAAGGGAUGGAGUCGAGAGAGCAGAUACAUCAAAUGUUGGAUGCUAUGAAAGUUCAAGCCAGUGGCCCGAUUGAUGAGAUUGUGGAUGCUUUCCAAGAGAAGAAAAGACUUGCAAGGAAGAAAAUGAUAAGGAAAGGGGAAGCUGCAGAGAAUGUGAAGUUGUCAAAGAAGGAUGCAUUCAGUAGCAGGAGUGCAGCACGAACAAAGGCAAAGAGGUUGUGGUGUCCGAAGGUUCGGCCGUGUCUGUUGGCUGGUAUGCUAUAAGACGUGGUUCUUCUCUUAAAAAGUUUACAGAUAUUGUCUUGGAAUACAAGGGGUCUUGGUGAUUUUAAAAGAAAAUUAUAGCUUUUGAUGCUUGUCAAAAAAGAAAGCAUUGAUUUAGUUUUGCUUCAAGAAACAAAAAUUUCAAGCCCUUGUAUUCAACCUGUUAAGUCUGUAUGGGUUUGUAAACCCAUACAUUUUUGUUGUAUAGUAUCUGGACUGUAUGGGAUCCUCCGCUACUUAAUGUUGUUUGACCCAGAGUGGACAACUGGUAUGUCUUGUGGCUAAAUUUACUUUGUCAAAUAAUUGUGAUGUAAAUCCUAUUAUGACGAGGCUUGACCGCUUUCUGGUCAAUUCAGCAUGGGCUGAACUGUUUCCCCUUGCCUCAGUUCGUCUUUUACCCAAACUAUCAUCAGACCAUGUAACUUUGAUUUGGGAAAGUGAAAAUCGAAUAGGUGGGAGAUCUUAUUUCAAAUUUGAAAUGUCAGGGCUAAUGGAGAAGUUGGUAAAUGAAUUGGUAAGGGGUGCAUGUAAUAGAAAUGAGGUUUCCGGAUAUUGUAGCUAUGUGGUGUCGAAAAAGGUUCAAGGAGUCAAGACAGAGCUAGUAGAAUGGAGAAAGUGGAGUAGAUGCCACUAUAAGGUGAAGAUUGGCCACGGACAAAUUAGUCUGGAGUCAUUGCCUUUGAGGAUGUUAUGGAAAGGAAUGGGCUGAAUAAAUAGUUGCAUGAAUGGUUGAGGGCUGUUGAAAUUUAUUGGAGGAAGGAGAUUUGAAUACUAGACUCUUUCAUGCAACUGCAAUGCAAGGCAAAGAAUUAACAAGAUUCGUAGUUUCAAAAUUGUUGGAAUUGCAAAGGAUGUUGUAUUAGGAUGAGAAAAUGCAAUAAUCCAGCAUUUUCAGGAGGUGUUCUUCCUGGUUUGUACCUGACAUUGACUUUAGUCAGGUUUCUUUUGUAAGGUCCUGGCCGAGUGGAGUAGGUCGAGGCUUCAAUACUGUGUUGAACAUAAGACGUUCUUAUAGAUAGUUGAUGAGAUUGUUAGUGAAGAAUAUGUGUAGUGUUUGGCUAUGUUGCAGUAGUGUUCUUAAUGUCCAGAAGUUGAAGAUAAAAUAGUUUGGGAACCGAGUAAAAAAGGUGUAUUCACUGUGCGAUCAGCCUAUAAACAAUUAUUUGAUGAUCGUAAUAGGCGGAGAGAUGUAGCUGCAGCAAGAAUAUGGAAGCUGCCUAUACCUGAAGGUUAGAUCUUUUGUAUUGCUAUCAACUUAAAAAAACUUUGAACAUGUGAUAAUUUGAGGGAAAGAGGCAAAAAAUUGCCAAAUGUAUGCCUUAUGUGUAAAAGAGAUCUUUUGUAUCGCUAUUAACUUAAAAAAACUUUGACCAUGUGAUGUUUUGAGAAAAAGAGGCAAAAAAUUGCCAAAUGUAUGCCUAAUGUGUAAAAGAGAUGAAGAAAUAGUGGACCAUUUAUUCCUCGUAUGUUGUUUUGUGAGAAAAAUAUGGAAAUGGUGUUUAGAUUGGUUGGGUAUACAAAUUGUUAUUCCUAUGCAAGCCGAGGCGAUAUUUUUUCAAUGGAAAAUAGGAGUUGAUAAAAAAAGAAGAAUUAUAUGGAAGAUAGCAAAAGCAACAAUUCUUUAGGAGUUAUAGAAGGAGAGGAAUAGAAGAUGUUUUGAAAAUAUUGUACAGACGAGUGAUGAAUUGUGCGAGAAGAUAGGAGUUGCUGCAGCUGAAUGGCUAUCGAUUAAAAAGGAGUGGUGGGGUGUCUCUUGGAUGGACUUGAUGCAUAAUUUGAAUGUUUUAAUAUGAAGAAUAAAGGUUGGUGUUUGGGAAGCACUUGUAGUAAGGGUGGAUUAAGUUAAAUUUUGAUGGGAGCUCAUUUGGGAAUCAUGGCUAGCUGGGAUAAGAGGGUAAGGGUAAUAAUAAUAUAGUAGUGAAGAAAUACUAUGGACCAGUUGGGGUGAUAAUGGCAAAUGAAGCUCAACUUAGGUAUGCUUUACAAGCUUUAAAGUUGGCUAAAGAAAUUAAUAUACAGGUGGGUGGUGGUGGAAGGAGAUUAGAUGAAUAAAGAAAAGAGAGUUACCAUGGUUGUUUAGUGAAUUGAUGAGGGAACUGUUAGAUUGGUGUAUAGAUAUGAAAUGUUCUUUUAUUCAUGUAGGGUCUGUUUGACAAAACAAAA